RNAcentral lists this ribosomal RNA (863 nucleotides) under uncultured bacterium. RNAcentral's name for it is "bacterial SSU rRNA". It matches the Rfam family "Bacterial small subunit ribosomal RNA", at positions 8 to 916 of the family's 1533-position model. The record is from RNAcentral.
AGAGUUUGAUCCUGGCUCAGGGUGAAUGCUGGCGGCGUGGAUAAGGCAUGCAAGUCGAGUGGGUUUAGACCCACGGCAGACGAGGUAGUAACAGGUAGGAACCUUCCCUUUAGUCGAGGAUAUUCCGUCGAAAGACGGCGCAAUACUCGAUAGUCUCUACGGAGUAAAGAUUUAUCGCUAAAGGAGGGGCCUGCUUCGUAUCAGCUAGUUGGUAAGGUAACGGCUUACCAAGGCUAUGACGCGUAGGGGAGCUGAGAGGCUGACCCCCACCGAUCGCACUGAGACACGGGCGAUACCUCUACGGAGGGCUGCAGCCGAGAAUAUUCGACAAUGGGCGAAAGCCUGAUCGAGCGACGCCGCGUGGUGGACGAAGUCCUUCGGGACGUAAACACCUUUUGGAAGGGACGAAGUCAUUGACGGUACCUUCAGAAUAAGGGGUUCCUAACUCUGUGCCAGCAGGAGCGGUAAUACAGAGGCCCCAAGCAUUACCCGGAAUCACUGGGCGUAAAGGAUGCGUAGGUGGCGCACUUAGUCUUUCGUUAAAACCUCUUUGCUCAACAAAGAGAUCGCGAGAGAAACGGGUGUGCUCGAGGAUGUAAUAGGUAAGCGGAACUCACGGUGUAGGGAUUAAAUCCGUUGAUAUCGUGGGGAACACCAAAAGCGAAGGCAGCUUACUGGGACAUUCCUGACACUGAGGCAUGAAAGCGUAGGUAGCGAAAAGGAUUAGAUACCCUUGUAGUCUACGCCCUAAACGAUGAUCACUGGUUUUCGGGAGUAUCGACCCUCUCGGAGACGAAGCUAACGCGUUAAGUGAUCCGCCUGGGUAGUACGGUCGCAAGACUAAAACUCAAAGGAAUUGACGG